Vigna unguiculata (cowpea) is the source of this 2065-nucleotide RNA transcript. It is a transcript of the gene named CBL-interacting serine/threonine-protein kinase 24, with no coding region annotated. NCBI's taxonomy places the organism in Eukaryota, Viridiplantae, Streptophyta, Magnoliopsida, Fabales, Fabaceae. The record is from RefSeq and is a predicted model, not a curated record.
GACGAUGGGGACAUUGGCAACUUGCCACGCCAUUUUGUUUCUCUUUAUCUUGUCUCACGUGUCUCCAUUUUGGAGCUUAACUCCAUUCUUAUAUGAAUUGCCGCUUCAUCCGUUCUUCUAUUCUUUACAAUUCUAGAAUAUUCCAACUCUCUGCGAUCUUUUCUUUUCUCUUUGAAGGUCUAACAGUAAGCGAGGAUCAGGUUCCAGAAUCAUACUGCUGGUCUCCAACAACUCAACAACGUUGUGUUCUUUGAAAUUCGUUCGGAGCCAAUUUCGUUUCUAGGUCAUCUUCUCUGAAUCGGAAUUCGCCACGAGGAGCUGCAAUUGCGAAUGAAUGAACGUCGAAAGAACAUGAAGGUGAGGAGAAAGAUCGGGAAGUAUGAGAUGGGGCGAACUAUUGGCGAAGGCACCUUCGCCAAGGUCAAGUUCGCCAGAAAUUCCGAAACAGGGGAGAGCGUGGCCAUUAAAAUUAUGGCUAAGGCCACCAUUCUCGAGCACAGAAUGGUUGAGCAGAUUAAAAGAGAGAUAUCCAUUAUGAAGAUUGUCAGGCAUCCUAAUAUAGUUAUACUGCACGAGGUUUUGGCUAGCCAGACCAAGAUCUACAUAAUCCUAGAAUUUGUGAUGGGAGGGGAACUAUAUGACAAAAUUGUUCAGCAGGGAAGGCUUUCUGAAAAUGAAUCUAGGCGCUAUUUUCAACAACUUAUAGACGCUGUUGAUCAUUGCCAUAAAAAGGGUGUGUACCAUAGAGACUUGAAGCCUGAAAACCUCCUUCUUGAUGCUUUUGGAAAUUUGAAAGUUUCCGACUUUGGAUUGAGUGCAUUGACUAAAAAGGGUGUUGGCCUUCUUCACACCACUUGUGGGACCCCAAAUUAUGUUGCCCCUGAGGUGCUCGGUAAUCGAGGAUAUAAUGGUGCUGCAGCUGACGUUUGGUCAUGUGGGGUCAUCCUAUAUGUUCUAAUGGCCGGAUAUCUUCCUUUUGAGGAGCCUGACCUUCCAACUCUGUACAGAAGGAUCAAUGCUGCAGAGUAUGUCUGCCCAUUCUGGUUUUCUGCUAAGGCAAAGUCAUUCAUACGUAAAAUUCUAGAUCCUAAUCCAGAAACAAGGGUCAAAAUUGAAGAAAUAAGGAAAGAUCCAUGGUUCCAGGAAAACUAUUUUCCUGUCAAACUCGGGGAAUGUGAGCAAGUGAAUUUGGAUGAUGUUCGGGCUGUUUUUGAUGAUAUUGAGGACCAAUAUGUUGCUGAACAGUCAGAAAUUACCGAAGGAGGUCCUUUGAUAAUGAAUGCAUUUGAGAUGAUUUCCUUAUCACAAGGAUUGAAUCUUUCACCAUUGUUUGAUAGGCACCAGGUGGGCAUUAGAGGGCAUCUGAUUUCAAGUUUGAAUCAAAGAUUAUGUAAAGCGGCAAACACGAUUUGUCUCCCGUAAACCAGCAAAAGUUAUAAUUUCUUCUGUUGAAGCUAUUGCAGAGUCAAUGGGUCUUAAGGUCCAUUCUCGCAAUUACAAGGUGAGGCUAGAAGGUGUUUCUGCAAACAAGGUUGGGCAAUUUGCAGUGGUCUUGGAGGUUUUUGAAGUCGCACCAUCCCUUUUCAUGGUUGAUAUUCGAAAGGCAGCUGGGGACACUUUUGACUACCACAAGUUUUAUACGAGUUUUUGUAGCAAACUCGGAAGCAUUAUUUGGAAACCGGCAGGGAGCAUGCGAAAUUCUAACACGCUUAAGCAACUGACUAUAUAAUCCAAUCCUUUGAAGUUAUGAACGAUGCAAAUCUGCUUAGAAGUGCACCGGGAGCUUCAGCUGGUCCCCGAGUAUACUAAAAAGCUGGCAUGCAUGCUUUGUUGGCUUAAUAAUCUCGAGAGAAGGAAGGAAAAAUACCUGUAAUCCAUUAUUGGGUUCAGGGAGAAAUAUGUAUAAAGAAUAAACACAAUGGAAACGAUGAUCUUGCUUUUCAUCUCCACUUAUGUCUCUGGGUUUGAGACAUGCUCAUUAUGUAUAAAAAAAUAUGCGUGUUUGAUUAAGUAUGAAGUGAAAUUUAAGUUAACUUUUUUAUUUUUUUAUUUUUUAAAGGGUAAA